GGAUCUGCUGGUCAAUGUGCCGGGCGAACUGCUCACUCACCUGAGCAAUGGCAGAGCACAGGAAAGCCAUGAAUGAGCGAGCAGAGCAGGCCUGCUCCUGCCCACCUGCUUCUCCACCACGGCCCGCCAACAGCGCGUCAGGUUUCUCAUGAUGCUGCUUGGAAGGCCCCGGGUAGCCAAGGAGCUCCAGUCGUGGCUUCUGUUUCUGCCUUCUGUAGAGACCAAGAAAGUGGCAGAGGCAAGGAGGGUGCAGCCCCUCCACUCCCAAGUCCCCAUCCAAGGGGGUUCCCUGAGGCCUUUCCUGACAUGCUGCCACCCAAAAUGAUGUUCAUGGAUGGAGGUGACACAAACCUGGAAGAUGAACAGGCUGAGCCCAUAGGGAGGGGAAGGAUGGGGAUGGACAGAAGCCUGUGGUGUACACAUGGGGCCCAGGAAAACGCUCCUGACUAGAGCUCCCCACCUGAAUCUCCACUACUCACUGGGCCGAGGAGUGGCCACCACAGGAGGGGGUGCCUCACAGGGCUCGACAUGCACCAGCAGGUGAGUGAGACGGCGCACCCGCGAGAAGAAAGCUGGGCCGCGGCUCUGGGGGUUGAAGACAGCUUCCUGACACUCCAGGUACUGGUCCAGCAGCCAACCCAGGGGGCUAAUGCCAUCCUCAUCUAGAGGGUGAGAUAAACAAACCAAGGCACAGCCAUGUCUGCAGGGAAGUGGGAGUGGUUGGGCUGAACAGGAGUGUGGAGAUAGAGCAACUGGACGGAAUGAUACAAGGAAGGGGGGCCAGGUAGGGUGGUUUACGCCUGUAAUCCCAGCACUUUGGGAGGCUGAGAUGAGAGGAUCGCUUGAGGCAGGAGUUCAAGACUGGCCUGGUCAACAUAGCAGGACCCCAUCUUUAAAAAUAAGAAAUAAGCAUAAAAAAAUAGAAAAGGCCAGGUGCGGUGGCUCAUGCCUGUAAUCCCAGCACUUUGGGAGGCUGAGGUGGGUGGAUCACCUGAGGUCGGGAGUUCGAGAUCAGCCUGACCAACACGGAGAAACCCCACCUCUACUAAAAAUAUAAAAUUAGCCAGGUGUGGGUCAGGCGCGGUGGCUCAUGCCUGUAAUCCCAGCACUUUGGGAGACUGAGGCGGGUGGAUCACCUGAGAUUGGGAGUUCGAGACCAGCCUGACCAACAUGGAGAAACCCCAUCUCUACUAAAAAUACAAAAUUAGCUGGGCAUGGUGGCCCAUGCCUGUAAUCCCAGCUAUUUGGGAGGGUGAGGCAGAAGAAUCACUUGAACCCUGGAGGCAGAGGUUGCAGUGAGCCGAGACUGCGCCAUUGCACUCCAGUCUAGGCAACAAGAGCGAAACUCUGUCUCAAAAAAAUAAAAUAAAAUAAAAUAAAAUUAGCCAGGCAUGGUGGUGCAUGCCUGUAAUCCCAGCUACUUGGGAGGCUGAGGCAGGAGAAUUGCCUGAACCUGGGAGGCAGAGGUUGCAGUGAGCCAAGAUCAUGCCAUUGCACUCCAGCGUGGGUAACGAGCGAAAAUCUGUCUCAAAAAAAAAAAAAAGAAGAAUGAUAAAGGGAGUGGGUAACAAGGCACCUCCAGCACUUAUGGUGUCCCCUGACACUUGAGAGACAUGGGAAAGGGGGCAGCCCCUGGGCUGUGAGAAGACAGCACUGGGAUUACAAAUGCAGGUGCCAAAAGGGCCAGGACAUAAUCCAGGUGGUUCUAGGGUAGAGCAAGAAGGAACUAAUUAGUGGAACCAAGCCCUGAGAUAGUAAUGGGUCCAGAUGUCAGGAUGGUUACCAGGGGAGGUGAUGUUCUGCACCACGGGGCUGACCAGGGCCUCCCAGCAGGUCUUGCCCAGAGCUUGGGCAGCCUCGUCAUCAGGGAGGAAGCGGUCAGCAAAAUUCUGCUCCUGGCGCAGAGCACCGUUGAGUCUGGGGGUGAGAAUGGAGGAGGAAGGUGUCAGGGGCUUGAAGCAUAUGUUAUCUCAGUGUCCACCCUUCCUAAGACUGCCAGCUAACCCCAGCACCCAAACCGAAGGCCCCCUGGUACUUCAGAACUGCUCUGUGCUAACUGGUAUAUCCCAUUCCCAGCCCACUGGAGAAAUCUUUUCUCUUUAUCCUUUCUUCCCCUCCCACAGCUCAGAAAACUCCAGCCCCCUCCCCACGCAUAUUAAACCUCCAUCUCACAGCUUC
Homo sapiens (human) is the source of this 2178-nucleotide long non-coding RNA. RefSeq lists it as uncharacterized. The transcript has 2 exons. Lineage: Eukaryota; Metazoa; Chordata; Mammalia; Primates; Hominidae. The record is from RefSeq and is a predicted model, not a curated record.